GCCCCGGUAGCUCAGUUGGCCAGAGCGUUCGGCUUUUACUACAGUAUUAGCUGAUACCGAAAUGUCGUGGGUUCGAGCCCCACUCGGGGCG
This is a non-coding RNA of Ascosphaera aggregata, 91 nucleotides long. NCBI's taxonomy places the organism in Eukaryota, Fungi, Ascomycota, Eurotiomycetes, Onygenales, Ascosphaeraceae. The record is from the annotation of a GenBank genome assembly.